RNAcentral lists this ribosomal RNA (492 nucleotides) under uncultured bacterium. RNAcentral's name for it is "partial 16S ribosomal RNA". It matches the Rfam family "Bacterial small subunit ribosomal RNA", at positions 29 to 507 of the family's 1533-position model. The record is from RNAcentral.
AGUGAACGCUGGCGGUAGGCCUAACACAUGCAAGUCGAACGGCAGCACAGUAAGAGCUUGCUCUUACGGGUGGCGAGUGGCGGACGGGUGAGGAAUACAUCGGAAUCUACUUUUUCGUGGGGGAUAACGUAGGGAAACUUACGCUAAUACCGCAUACGACCUACGGGUGAAAGCAGGGGAUCUUCGGACCAUGCGCGAUUGAAUGAGCCGAUGUCGGAUUAGCUAGUUGGCGGGGUAAAGGCCCACCAAGGCGACGAUCCGUAGCUGGUCUGAGAGGGUGAUCAGCCACACUGGAACUGAGACACGGUCCAGACUCCUACGGGAGGCAGCAGUGGGGAAUAUUGGACAAUGGGCGCAAGCCUGAUCCAGCCAUACCGCGUGGGUGAAGAAGGCCUUCGGGUUGUAAAGCCCUUUUGUUGGGAAAGAAAAGCAGCAGGUUAAUACCCCGCUGUUCUGACGGUACCCAAAGAAUAAGCACCGGCUAACUUCGUG